RNAcentral lists this ribosomal RNA (597 nucleotides) under Mecopus nidulans. Its description in RNAcentral is "eukaryotic LSU rRNA". The stretch from base 235 to 390 matches the Rfam family "5.8S ribosomal RNA". Lineage: Eukaryota; Viridiplantae; Streptophyta; Magnoliopsida; Fabales; Fabaceae. The record is from RNAcentral.
GAUGGCUUGCGAACAGUUUGACCGGUGAACUUGUUUAUCUGACGUGGGGGGUUGGCAUGAUCUCAUCCUCCCCCCCCCCCCGUCGAGGGGCGGCCGUGCGUGACGCGGCCUCCUCUCGACGAACACAAACCCCGGCGCCUCGCGCGCCAAGGAAUCGGAAAUUGUCCAGUGCGGCCCCGGGGGGAGCUGGAGACAGCGUCCCGCGGGUCCCGUCACCACACACGGAAAAAGAAUGACUCUCGGCAAUGGAUAUCUCGGCUCUUGCAUCGAUGAAGAACGUAGCGAAAUGCGAUACUUGGUGUGAAUUGCAGAAUCCCGUGAACCAUCGAGUCUUUGAACGCAAGUUGCGCCCGAAGCCACUAGGCCGAGGGCAUGCCUGCCUGGGUGUCACACAUCGUUACCCUCACGCAAAGGUCCGGUGGUGGCCGAUGCGUGGUGUGUAUGAUGACCUCCCGCGAGCGGUGUCCCGCGGUUGGUUGAAAAUCGAGUGCACGGUCGGGUAGGCCGUGAUAAAAUGGUGGACGGGCAACGCCCGAGACCAAUCACGCGCGAUCCUGCCCGGGGUGACCCUAUGACCCCUGCUGCGUCUUCGGAUGC